UGACCUCGGAUCAGGUAGGAGUACCCGCUGAACUUAAGCAUAUCAAUAAGCGGAGGAAAAGAAACCAACAGGGAUUGCCUCAGUAACGGCGAGUGAAGCGGCAAAAGCUCAAAUUUGAAAUCUGGCCCCGUCAGGGGUCCGAGUUGUAAUUUGGAGAGGAUACUUCGGGUGUGGCCGUGGCUUAAGUCCCUUGGAACAGGGCGUCAUAGAGGGUGAGAAUCCCGUCUUGAGUCACCGGUCCACGCCCAUGCGAAGUUCCUUCGACGAGUCGAGUUGUUGGGCUUGCAGCUGCACUUUAGCCGUUUCUCCAGCGUGUUCAGGUGAAGCCGAUGACGGCAAUUGCCAUUUCACAUACGCGGUGCCGACUCCGAGGGGCACAUUGAUAAUGUCAAUGAUCUAGCAAGUAUCAGCAAGACGUGGCUGAAAAGAAAUACAGCGCGCAAGGAAGCUUACACGCAGAGUAAAUGUGAACUUCGGCUAAAUCAUAUCCACAUCAGCUGCUUGCACCAAAGCCUAGGGGAAGCGGGAAAGUUACCCGUCUGCUUUUGGGGACUGAAAGUACAUUGGUUAGCUCACUGGCUGCAAAAGCAACAACCCCCAAGGGAUCCAUGUUUACACCCACAUGGAACAGUUGGGAGAUGAAGGGAGAUUUGGUUAAAACUCACCAAAGGCCUGCAUCUUUCACAAUCGUCCUUUGUGAGUGCUUUGCUCGGCGACUGCCUUCCUCCAAUUGCAGACUAGUGCCGUUUGCCGGGGGAAGCAGCAAUCAAUGAGUGCACUUCCUGUUGUUCAUAGCCUCAGGUUAGCUACUUGACAUCCCUUCACGACAAAAUCAUUUUGCCAUGGGUUGCCAU
This 854-nucleotide non-coding RNA is filed under the name Uncinocarpus reesii 1704. RNAcentral's name for it is "Eukaryotic large subunit ribosomal RNA". It matches the Rfam family "Eukaryotic large subunit ribosomal RNA", at positions 1 to 632 of the family's 3401-position model. Lineage: Eukaryota; Fungi; Ascomycota; Eurotiomycetes; Onygenales; Onygenaceae. The record is from Rfam by way of RNAcentral.